AACGAACGCUGGCGGCAUGCCUAACACAUGCAAGUCGAACGAGACCUUCGGGUCUAGUGGCGCACGGGUGCGUAACGCGUGGGAAUCUGCCCUUGGGUUCGGGAUAACAGUUGGAAACGACUGCUAAUACCGGAUGAUGUCUUCGGACCAAAGAUUUAUCGCCCAAGGAUGAGCCCGCGUAGGAUUAGCUUGUUGGUGAGGUAAGAGCUCACCAAGGCGACGAUCCUUAGCUGGUCUGAGAGGAUGAUCAGCCACACUGGGACUGAGACACGGCCCAGACUCCUACGGGAGGCAGCAGUGGGGAAUAUUGGACAAUGGGCGAAAGCCUGAUCCAGCAAUGCCGCGUGAGUGAUGAAGGCCUUAGGGUUGUAAAGCUCUUUUACCCGGGAUGAUAAUGACAGUACCGGGAGAAUAAGCCCCGGCUAACUCCGUGCCAGCAGCAGCCGCCG
Molecule: ribosomal RNA, 449 nt
Filed under: uncultured bacterium
Lineage: Bacteria
Description: partial 16S ribosomal RNA
Rfam family: Bacterial small subunit ribosomal RNA
Source: RNAcentral